Molecule: long non-coding RNA, 1352 nt
Organism: Arachis duranensis
Lineage: Eukaryota; Viridiplantae; Streptophyta; Magnoliopsida; Fabales; Fabaceae
Exons: 3
Source: RefSeq, a predicted model, not a curated record
AAUAAAAGUGUUUCCAUAAGGAAGUAUAAAAGAAUUGGGUAUUCCCAUUUAUCACCAACUGUGACUGAAAGACUAAGAGCUUAAAGAAGAGUAAAAUAAGAGUAAAGAAAAUUAGCAGCAUCUAUCAGGUAUGGCUCACGAGUUCACGCACUAAAUUGCUGGCUUCUUUCACUAUCUCUGGUGCCGGGCUUAUUACCUUCUCAAAAACACACCGAUUCCUCGCUUUUCAAGUGCUCCAACACAGCGCCGCUAUGAGGAGGGUCUUUUGUCUACCGUCUAAUUGAGCCACUGCCCAGGAUAAGACUCGUUGCCACCAAUUGAAAAAUGUAUCUUCUUCUCUCAUCCAUAGGUCAGGGGUUAUUAAGCUUAGUCUCCAUAUUAUUGAAGAUAGGGGGCAUUGGAACAAAGUAUGAGAAAUUGAUUCAACCUUCAACAUGCAUCUUGGACAAGUGGCAGGAGUGGAUGCGAACCGGCUGUGGACUUGUUGCAACACUGGAAGCUUUUCAUGAAGACUUUUCCAUAGAAAAAUCUUAAUUUUAUGUGGUAAUUUCAACUCCCAAAUGCUAUUCCAGACUCUGUUGUGUAUAUUUUGGGGCCUCAAUGAAGUAGGAGAAUGAAAGAAUCCAUCUGGCGGGAUUGUGAGUGCAUUUUGAGGGACAUUAAAGGGCACUGGUAGUGGGAGCCCGGGGUCAUGGAAGAUGCGAACAUUAGUGCCAGAGCCUAUUUUCCAUAACAAGCCUUUCUCGAUCACCUUGCGCCCUUCAAGAACACUUCUCCAGCCCCACGACGGUACUUUCUGGCUGAAAUUGAGGAGUUUGAGCAAAAGUCUGAUUCAAAGAUAGAGAAAGGACUAUAGAUGCUAUCAGGAUCUGACCUCCCUGCACUCGAAGGAGCUUUUCUAGAGCUACAGAAGUUCAAAUAAUGCGCUCUCAAUGGCUAUGGAAAGCUAACAUCCAGCGCUUUCCAGAAAUAUAUAACAGUCCAUACUUUGUUUCAGAAAUAAAGGCCUAAAAUUGGCGUUAAACGCCAACCACUAACUCCAUUCCUGGCGUUCAACGCCCACAGGGGAGCAGCUGAUGUCCAACGCCCAAAAGGGGGUCCCUAGCCAGUGUUCAACGCCCCCAAGGAGUCCUAGCUCAUGGGAGACACUCAAGCUCAGCCCAAACACUCACCAAGUAGGCCUCAGAAGUGAAUUUUUGCACUACAAGACUAGUUUAUCUUAUUUUCUGUAAUCCUUAGUUAGCAGAUUAAUAUAUAUAGGAGGAGAUCACCCUUGUUUAGGAUCUUCUUCUUCCCCCAUUUUGUAUUUUCGAAGAUUAUGUACAGUAUGAGUCACUAACCUCCUAAGGUUA